GACGAACGCUGGCGGCGUGCUUAACACAUGCAAGUCGAACGGAAAGGCCCUGCUUUUGUGGGGUGCUCGAGUGGCGAACGGGGGAGUAACACGUGAGUAACCUGCCCUUGACUUUGGGAUAACUUAAGGAAACGGGGGCUAAUACCGGAUAGGAGCUCCUGCUGCAGGGUGGGGGUUGGAAAGUGUCGGCGGUUGGGGAUGGACGCGCGGCUUACCCGCUUGUUGGUGGGGUAGGGGCUGUCCAAGGAUUGGAAGGGUAGCCGGCCUGGGAGGGUGACCGGGCACAUUGGGCCUGGGGUGCGGCCCGUACGGAUUCGGGAGGCAGGGGCGGAGACUUGUGCACGACGUGCGGCGUCGUGAUGGAGCAACGCCGGGUGCGGGAUGCCGGUCUUUGGGUUGUAAACCGCGUUCGUCUGUGACGAAGCGUGCGUGACGGUAAUAGGUAAAGAGGCACCGGCUAACUACGU
RNAcentral lists this ribosomal RNA (467 nucleotides) under uncultured bacterium. RNAcentral's name for it is "partial 16S ribosomal RNA". It matches the Rfam family "Bacterial small subunit ribosomal RNA", at positions 28 to 506 of the family's 1533-position model. The record is from RNAcentral.